Molecule: transfer RNA, 67 nt
Filed under: Vespa mandarinia (Asian giant hornet)
Lineage: Eukaryota; Metazoa; Arthropoda; Insecta; Hymenoptera; Vespidae
Also listed under: 1 other name
Description: tRNA-Tyr
Source: RNAcentral
AAUACUAUGUCUGAUUAAAGUAAUAAAAUGUAAAUUUAUUUAAGAAAAUUAUAAUUUUCUAGUAUUA